Molecule: long non-coding RNA, 659 nt
Organism: Chenopodium quinoa (quinoa)
Lineage: Eukaryota; Viridiplantae; Streptophyta; Magnoliopsida; Caryophyllales; Amaranthaceae
Exons: 2
Source: RefSeq, a predicted model, not a curated record
UGAUUUAUGAAUGUCUAUUGAGGGAAAAAAAACGCGCGAGCUCCUCAUAAUUGCUUUUAAUUCCAAGUCUCUAUACAUGACUUUCUCUCUCUACUUCAUUCGUUUCUCCCUCCUGUUUGAAGCUCCAUCACUAUGAUUGUACUUCAACUUUCUCUUAAAUCAUCAAUCAAAUCACAUUAGCUCAAGAUUUUGAAUGCAAGAUUUGUUGAAUGUGAAUUACACAGAUUAUAUUUGGAGAAACCCGGCAGAGGCUGAGCUCUUGUAAGAUAUUGGGAAGCAGGGGACACACAAGCUUGCUGCUAUCUUAGGGGACAUUGGAGAAUUGCUCAAAGGUUCCUGCAAAUUCGAGUUCAGCUAUGUUCACAGAGAAGCCAACGAAGUGGCUCAUUAACUUGCGCAAAUGGCAAUUGAAAUGGAGGGAGAUAUAGUCAAGCACAACAACAUUCCGACUUGCGCUAAGAAUGCUUAUGAAAAUGAUAUGGUGGAAAGCUGCAUCUAAGCUGACAUUGGGUUUUGUUGGAUUGAAGUAGAACAAGUUUCUUAUUUGCACUCGUAUGGUUUUUUUUAUUUUGGAGCUGCUAUAAUUGCUCCCUUGAACUCUUUGUGGUUGAUUGAUUAAGCAAUAUGAUUUUCCUUAUUUAAUCUUUACGUAAAUGUUG